Non-coding RNA from Podospora anserina S mat+, 96 nucleotides. NCBI's taxonomy places the organism in Eukaryota, Fungi, Ascomycota, Sordariomycetes, Sordariales, Podosporaceae. The record is from the annotation of a RefSeq genome assembly.
GGGUGCAUGGUCUAGUGGUAUGAUUUUCGCUUCGCAUCCUUUCAAAAGGCGCGAUUAUAUUGUGAACGGUCCCCGGUUCAAUCCCGGGUGCAUCCA